UACGGGAGGCAGCAGUGGGGAAUAUUGCACAAUGGGCGGAAGCCUGAUGCAGCGACGCCGCGUGAGGGAUGACGGCCUUCGGGUUGUAAACCUCUUUCAGCAGGGAAGAAGCGUGAGUGACGGUACCUGCAGAAGAAGCGCCGGCUAACUACGUGCCAGCAGCCGCGGUAAUACGUAGGGCGCAAGCGUUGUCCGGAAUUAUUGGGCGUAAAGAGCUCGUAGGCGGCUUGUCGCGUCGGUUGUGAAAGCCCGGGGCUUAACCCCGGGUCUGCAGUCGAUACGGGCAGGCUAGAGUUCGGUAGGGGAGAUCGGAAUUCCUGGUGUAGCGGUGAAAUGCGCAGAUAUCAGGAGGAACACCGGUGGCGAAGGCGGAUCUCUGGGCCGAUACUGACGCUGAGGAGCGAAAGCGUGGGGAGCGAACAGGAUUAGAUACCCUGGUAGUCCACGCCGUAAACGUUGGGAACUAGGUGUGGGCGACAUUCCACGUCGUCCGUGCCGCAGCUAACGCAUUAAGUUCCCCGCCUGGGGAGUACGGCCGCAAGGCUAAAACUCAAAGGAAUUGACGGGGGCCCGCACAAGCGGCGG
RNAcentral lists this ribosomal RNA (585 nucleotides) under Streptomyces hebeiensis. RNAcentral describes it as "bacterial SSU rRNA". It matches the Rfam family "Bacterial small subunit ribosomal RNA", at positions 340 to 935 of the family's 1533-position model. The record is from RNAcentral. Lineage: Bacteria; Bacillati; Actinomycetota; Actinomycetes; Kitasatosporales; Streptomycetaceae.